GUGAAAUUUCCUUUCAGAAAAAUGUCUUUCAUUAUAAGUUGUAGCAAAAUUGCUGCUUGAAAAGUUGUUCACAGAAAAAAAAAAUCGUAAUAUACAAAUAUAUUUCGUACAUCGUCAAGGACUGUGUAUACAAUAGUAUGUAACUUCGUGAAUCCUACUUUUUGGCAUUUUUUUAGUAAGUAUCUGAAUCAAUCAAAAAAUUUCCAAAAAUCAG
This is a non-coding RNA of Cinara cedri, 214 nucleotides long. The record is from the annotation of a GenBank genome assembly. NCBI's taxonomy places the organism in Eukaryota, Metazoa, Arthropoda, Insecta, Hemiptera, Aphididae.